GAACAGUCGGUAAAGCAGUUCUGGUUUUCGGUGUGUUCGUAAACUUCGAGAAAAAGACUAUUAUUUUUCUUCUGUGAUUUUAAGUUUUAUUGAACGAUUGCGAAAAAUGAUUAAUCGAGAGAGGAAUAAUAAUAAAAUCAAGAAUGAGAUUUAAAAAUCCUAAAAGACCGAUUAUUCGUUGUGAUGAACCUUAAUGCGCUUCUCUGGCCAUCUACAGAACUUUCAGCGAAGUAAAAUUUCGAAUCAUACGAGAAGCCGCGAAAAUUUUCGCAGAAUAUUUGAACCAACUUUCAAAGUAUUCAAAAACAUUCGAAUGUAUCUCCCCAACAUAAAAAAAAGGAAAGAAAUGAUAGAGUUGAAAUCUUCACCAAAGGAGUCAUACGAUACGCAACACAAUCUACGUAAGAGAGAACACAGUCAUCGACUCUCGCAACGAUAUUUCUCACCACCGAUGUUAUGGAACAAUUCUCCUCCCCCUUCUUCAAUCUUCAUUCUACGUUUCUUCGAACAUAUAAAUACUUACUUACGCAUAUACGGGGACGAUAAGAUUAGGUGAAAGGGGAAGAGAUAGUCGAAAAAGGUAGAGAUGAGAGUUGUAAGAAUAAAAGGAAUAUAAGAAGAAGAAAAAGAAGGAAAAGGGGGUGGGUGGUGGUGGGAGAGGUGUAGGAGGAGGAGAAUUAGAGGAAGAAGAGAUUCACGCGUGUAUAUAUAGAACAGCCCCUCACCCCUCAGUGAGGGCCGAGGAUGCCGAAGGCGAGGGACCGCAAACUAUUCUUGGAGAACCUUAGAACGUGCGGAGUAACUACCUUCGAUGUCUUCUCUUUCCCGAUUCGGCGUCAGUAAACGUCAGUAAACCGCUGUAAGCCACCGCGAAAAGAUUAACGCUCGAAACUUUCAGAGAAGAAAAAAAGACUCGUAUCAUCGUACUUGAAAACUGGUCUCCGUUGUCGUCGUCGUCGUCGUCGGAAAGGAGAAGAUUCCGAUAGUAAACGGGAGUGUGUAUAGGAUAGGAGCGAGGUAGAGGAAGAAGAGGGUAAGGGAGGAGACGAGAAGUCACAACUCCAGCGAGCUCCAGGAUUACUCGACAGAUUGCGCGC
Molecule: long non-coding RNA, 1097 nt
Filed under: Polistes fuscatus (common paper wasp)
Lineage: Eukaryota; Metazoa; Arthropoda; Insecta; Hymenoptera; Vespidae
Description: uncharacterized LOC122526125, transcript variant X1
Source: RNAcentral